UACGGGGGGGGCAAGCGUUGUUCGGAAUUACUGGGCGUAAAGGGCUCGUAGGCGGCCAACUAAGUCAGACGUGAAAUCCCUCGGCUUAACCGGGGAACUGCGUCUGAUACUGGAUGGCUUGAGGUUGGGAGAGGGAUGCGGAAUUCCAGGUGUAGCGGUGAAAUGCGUAGAUAUCAGGAGGAACACCUGUGGUGUAGACAGCUUACUGGACCAUUUCUGACGCUGAGACACGAGAGCGUGGGUAGCAAACAGG
Molecule: ribosomal RNA, 253 nt
Filed under: uncultured bacterium
Lineage: Bacteria
Description: partial 16S ribosomal RNA
Rfam family: Bacterial small subunit ribosomal RNA
Source: RNAcentral